GAGAAGCGAAAUGGCGUUUGACGUGUAACAACUUGCACGUUUGUGUUUGGUGUGCACAGAGCUGGAGAAUCUUGAUGACAACAUUACUCAUAAAGACAUAAUUAGUUAUCUUGACAUUGCUUAAUUGUAAAGAUGUGUGAUAAAGUUCGUCCUAGGAGUGUAAAGUUAGGAUGAACUGCUGAGCAUAAGUUGCUGUGUUGGAGCAGAAUCUGUGAUCAGUCUUACCGAGAAUCCCAACAUUUGAAGACUUUAAAGCAUUUCUGACAGAAAAUUGAGCCGUCUUUAUAAUGAUGAAACGGAUGGAGGUGGUUAAAUGGUACUCACCAUUCCUGAGGGUCAGACUAAUGGUCAGCAGACGUCAUUCACAGUUUUCAAGUUUGAAUUCCAUGCCGCGGCCUGUCCAGGCGAUGAAGUGGGCAUUGCCUGGGUCAUCCAGAAGGGCCACCAGGAACUGCCAGAGCUG
Long non-coding RNA from Maylandia zebra (zebra mbuna), 463 nucleotides. RefSeq lists it as uncharacterized. Lineage: Eukaryota; Metazoa; Chordata; Actinopteri; Cichliformes; Cichlidae. The record is from RefSeq and is a predicted model, not a curated record.